This 28-nucleotide non-coding RNA is filed under the name Homo sapiens (human). The record is from RNAcentral. Lineage: Eukaryota; Metazoa; Chordata; Mammalia; Primates; Hominidae.
UGGCUUAAAGGCGGUCACCUUCUUGCUA